GACGAACGCUGGCGGCGUGCUUAACACAUGCCAGUCGAACGGACAGGCCCUGCUCUUGUUGGUUGCUCGAGAGGCGAACGCGUGAGUAACACGUGAGUAACCUGCCCUUGACUUUGGGAUAACUUCAGGGAACUGGGGCUAAUACCGGAUAGAAGCUCCUGCUGCAUGGGGGUGGUUGGAAAGUUUCGGCUGUUGGGGAUGGACUCGCGGCUUCUCAGCUUGUUGGUGGGGUAGUGAGUUACCAAGGCUUUGACGGGUAGCCGGCCUGAGAGGGUGAUCGGCCACACGGGAGCUGAACCGGGCACAAGAGGCCUACGGGAGGCACCAGUAGGGAACCGGCGGCAGCGGGCGAGAGCAUGGCAGAGCAAGGGGAAGCGUGAGGCAACAGCGCCGCGUGCGGGAUGCCGGGUUACUGGUUAUAAACCGCUGUCGAAGGUGACGAAGCGGGAGUGACGGUACUGAGUAAAGAAGCACCGGCUAACUACGUG
RNAcentral lists this ribosomal RNA (488 nucleotides) under uncultured bacterium. Its description in RNAcentral is "partial 16S ribosomal RNA". It matches the Rfam family "Bacterial small subunit ribosomal RNA", at positions 28 to 507 of the family's 1533-position model. The record is from RNAcentral.